Long non-coding RNA from Rhipicephalus sanguineus (brown dog tick), 2213 nucleotides. RefSeq lists it as uncharacterized. The record is from RefSeq and is a predicted model, not a curated record. NCBI's taxonomy places the organism in Eukaryota, Metazoa, Arthropoda, Arachnida, Ixodida, Ixodidae. The transcript is spliced from 4 exons.
UUUUGCAGGUGGUGCAAUCAAACUGAUGUCUGAAGCACACAGUAGCUGACAACUGCAUUGAAACUACCAUUAGUUUUGACUAUGAAGGCUCUAUUGCGCUUUUCAUUUUUAAGUAUCGCCUUGCAGAACCUGUGGUCUGGAAAUUUCCCCGGGAUGAAUGUUUACGCCAGUAAUUGCGAGCAUAGACAGCUGCUCAAGAGACAAGUGGUGGACAGCUUGCUGUGAAAGAUGGAAGCAUUCUUCCUGCAAGUCUGGACAAGGCCAUAUUAAAUGGCUUCAUCUGUCACAAAUCGCUGGCCACGAAUGUAAAGAACACCUUGGCCCCACUUCUGUCGAGGGAACCGAAGUUGCCUGAACAGAUGAAGAGCGGUGGUGCUACCAAUAGUGAACGACUGUGAUUUUAUAAUGUGCAAGUGUACGAACAAUCGCGUUACGCUAAUUUAACAUUAAUUGCAUUCACUAGUCAAGUGUUGCAAUAUUGUAAUGUGUAAGUUUAUGUGCAGUUGCAUUAAGUGAGCGCUCAAUCAAGCUUCAAGUUUGCAAUCCCAUAUUUUGGUGGUAUUCAUAGGGCGCACAUUCCACUUUAAAUUGUGAUCUGCUCCUUUACUGAGGGUGCAUGCAGGUCCUUGAAACGAUUGAAAACCCUUGAAAAAGUAAAAGUACAUUUUUAAAGCCCUGAAACCCUUGAAAACCUUUGGAAUUUCUUAGCAUAUAGUGGCCAAUAUUGACAAUACUAAUUUCUUUCUGUGUUCUGUAAACAUUUGUCUAGCAAACUGAGGGAACAUGUCGUGCUCAAUGAUGAUUCCGCUACUGUGUUUACCUUGCUUGCAUCACUGCUUGACCGAUCAUUCAUUUCGUUUCCGCAAGUGUCGCUCUGCCUUCUCCCCCUUUCUCUUGAUUUGGCUCCUCGGGACUCGACUUCACUUCCAGCGCCUAGCUUCUCUUCUUCUAUAGCAAGCUCACUACGUGUGAAAGAUCUUCUAGCUCUACAAACAUCCACUGUCCUAUAAUGCAGGCAAAAUGUGAAAAAAAAAGUUGAUGCUUCGUGCUAGAAACCAAGUACUUCUGACUAAAGCUGAUGGCAUUGCUGCUCAGGCUUAAUGAUUGACUCCCAUGUAGUGAUUGUUAUUGCUCUUUUGUGUAGGCAAGAACCUUGACUUUAUAUGUAGAGGAUAUUUGCUAAGUUGAUUGCUCUACUGGCAUAAAUCCAAUUCGCACUUGACUCAAUUGUUAUCAAAGCCCAAAAACAGGAGAAGCAUGAUGACUGCAUGGAGUCAAAAAUGUAUUCAACGAUCAAAUUGUAAAAAUUGGGGAUAAAAUUUUGAAGCAGUCAUUACUAUUUUGUUUAGCAGGUCAGUACUUGGAAAAAGUAGAAGCGUCGUACAUCACCGUCAUAAAACUGAACAGUUUCUCAAUGCCUGAAAAAGUGAGACGGGGGAACUGAACAAGAUUACUUAUCUAAUAUAAAAGAUGUCCCAGCAGCUGCAUCAAUGCUGUGAAUUUUGUGCAAAGCAGGAAGCUAAUAUGAUCAGGUAGAGUAUCGGACGCAUUAUCUCAAGGUUGUAGAUUUGGUCCCUAUCAGCAGCAAGUUGAUUUUUCAUCCUCUUUAAUUCCUUUCCAUUUAUGUCAUAAUUACUACUCUACAGUUAAAGCCUACGAAUUAUGUGCUUUAUACUUUCCUUGGCUUCAUUGUCUCUAGGUUCUCACUUGGCUGAAUCCCAUUUUUUACUUCAAAUGCUUAAAGCUGCCCGUAUUGUUUUGGAAACUUUGUUAGAGCAGAAAAUUGAUACUUGUGAUGCUGCCUUCCAUCCUCCAAGAACCUUCUAUAGGAAUCCUUGAAGAUCCUUGAAUUUGGGCUUUGAAACCAGUAUGAGCCUUGUUCACUCCUUCAGCACAUUUCUUCCCGUAGUGUGUGUGCCUUGUCAACAGUGUUUAUGCUCUUUUUUACCUUCUGAUACCUGUAGUUGUCUAAAAUUUAUUUAUUAGAGUGGUGCUUUACAUAGUGUUUAACUUAUUUUGUCAACUUGGAUGCAGUUUGCACAUUACAGUGGGAAGUUCUCGCUAUGUCAAACCACAAAUACUUAGGAACUUCAACAAAAGUUGUUGCUUAAAAAUAAAUAUUUUACUUAGAAAACUGUUCUCUUCUUUCUUCCCAAGUUACACGGAAACUCGGCUAGUGUCCAUUAAAACAAGCUGAUAGAGAAGAACAGAAG